UUGCUCGUAAACCCAGCAGAACAGAAUG
This 28-nucleotide non-coding RNA is filed under the name Bombyx mori (domestic silkworm). Lineage: Eukaryota; Metazoa; Arthropoda; Insecta; Lepidoptera; Bombycidae. The record is from RNAcentral.